RNAcentral lists this transfer RNA (57 nucleotides) under Onchocerca volvulus. RNAcentral describes it as "tRNA OVOC13532". The record is from RNAcentral. Lineage: Eukaryota; Metazoa; Nematoda; Chromadorea; Rhabditida; Onchocercidae.
GGGUUUUUAGUAUAAUUUUUAAUACUUUUGAUUGCAGAUCAUUUAAUUUAUAGCCUU